RNAcentral lists this ribosomal RNA (244 nucleotides) under uncultured Actinomycetales bacterium. Its description in RNAcentral is "partial 16S ribosomal RNA". It matches the Rfam family "Bacterial small subunit ribosomal RNA", at positions 89 to 334 of the family's 1533-position model. Lineage: Bacteria; Bacillati; Actinomycetota; Actinomycetes; Actinomycetales. The record is from RNAcentral.
GCUCGAGUGGCGAACGGGUGAGUAACACGUGAGUAACCUGCCCUUGACUUUGGGAUAACAUCAGGAAACUGGGGCUAAUACCGGAUAGGAGCUCCUGCUGCAUGGUGGGGGUUGGAAAGUUUCGGCGGUUGGGGAUGGACUCGCGGCUUAUCAGCUUGUUGGUGGGGUAGUGGCUUACCAAGGCUUUGACGGGUAGCCGGCCUGAGAGGGUGACCGGCCACAUUGGGACUGAGAUACGGCCCAG